UAUUUUUCAACAGAAGAUACUCCUCUUCUUCGAUCUCCAUUAAGAUCUGCACACAAGGAGCAGAAAAAAAAGUAUAAGAGUCAUACUUGUUGCCAAAAUUAUUCAACCUUGGACUCGGUCAACGAGAUGAAGCUUGCUUAUUGGUAGCUGACUGACUUGGUCCAAUCAGAGCUUUAAUUUUUUUGUUUCUUUUUUUGAUCUUUUUCUUCUAUCUGACGUCGGUCAGAAGCGCCUUCAUCUAUAUGAAUAUACUUGUAUGCACGCUUCA
Molecule: long non-coding RNA, 268 nt
Filed under: Elaeis guineensis (African oil palm)
Lineage: Eukaryota; Viridiplantae; Streptophyta; Magnoliopsida; Arecales; Arecaceae
Description: long non-coding RNA (EGUI_LNC045204)
Source: RNAcentral